GACGAACGCUGGCGGCGCGCUUAACACAUGCAAGUCGAGCGAGAACCAGUCCUUCGGGGCUGGGGACAGCGGCGAACGGGUGAGUAACACGUGAGUAAUCCACCCUCGGUACCGGAAUAGCCCGGGGAAACCCGGAUUAAUGCCGGAUGGCCCAUCUGUUCUUCGGAAUUUGAUGGAAAAGAUAGCUUCGGCCUUCGACCGAGGACGAGCUCGCGGCGGAUUAGCUUGUUGGCGGGGUAACGGCCCACCAAGGCGACGAUCCGUAGCUGG
Molecule: ribosomal RNA, 270 nt
Filed under: uncultured bacterium
Lineage: Bacteria
Description: partial 16S ribosomal RNA
Rfam family: Bacterial small subunit ribosomal RNA
Source: RNAcentral